AGAGUUUGAUCAUGGCUCAGGAUGAACGCUAGCUACAGGCUUAACACAUGCAAGUCGAGGGGCAGCAUGAGCUUAGCUUGCUAAGUUUGAUGGCGACCGGCGCACGGGUGAGUAACACGUAUCCAACCUGCCGAUGACUCGGGGAUAGCCUUUCGAAAGGAAGAUUAAUACCCCGAUGGCAUAGUUCUUCCGCAUGGUGGAACUAUUAAAGAAUUUCGGUCAUCGAUGGGGAUGCGUUCCA
This 241-nucleotide ribosomal RNA is filed under the name uncultured bacterium. Its description in RNAcentral is "partial 16S ribosomal RNA". It matches the Rfam family "Bacterial small subunit ribosomal RNA", at positions 8 to 240 of the family's 1533-position model. The record is from RNAcentral.